GGUUGGAGAAGUGGUCUGGCCUGCUCACUGAUAAAGUUAUUUAAGAGCCGCGGUAUAUUGACCGUGCAAAGGUAGCAUAAUCAUUAGGGAUUUAAUUGGAACCUGGUAUGAAGGGUUGGACAAAGGAAAGACUGUCUAUAUGAUAUGAAUUGAAAUUUACUUUUAAGUGAAAAGGCUUAAAUAAAUCAAAGGGACGAUAAGACCCUAUAAAGCUUUAUAAAUAAUUUAAAUUUAAUUAAUUUAAUGAUUAAAGGUUAAGUUUACACUAUUUUAUUUUGUUGGGGUGAUAUGAGUAUAAGUGUUGUUAACUGCUUAAAAAAAAAUUCUAUUAUUAAAGAAUUAAUAAAAUGGAUGAUCCUUUGUAAAGAUUAAAAGACUAAGUUACUUUAGGGAUAACAGCGUUAUUUCUUUUGAGAGUUCAUAUCGAAAAAGAAGAUUGCGACCUCGAUGUUGAAUUAAAAUAUCUAUAUAAUGAAGCCGUUAUAAAAGAGGGUCUGUUCGACCUUUAAAUUUUUACAUGAUCUGUUUCCGACACCGGAAAU
This 542-nucleotide ribosomal RNA is filed under the name Atergatis integerrimus. RNAcentral describes it as "partial 16S ribosomal RNA". It matches the Rfam family "Bacterial large subunit ribosomal RNA", at positions 1839 to 2625 of the family's 2925-position model. The record is from RNAcentral. Lineage: Eukaryota; Metazoa; Arthropoda; Malacostraca; Decapoda; Xanthidae.